This 73-nucleotide transfer RNA is filed under the name Stegodyphus mimosarum. It matches the Rfam family "tRNA". From Rfam's summary of the family: Transfer RNA (tRNA) molecules are approximately 80 nucleotides in length. Their secondary structure includes four short double-helical elements and three loops (D, anti-codon, and T loops). The record is from Rfam by way of RNAcentral. Lineage: Eukaryota; Metazoa; Arthropoda; Arachnida; Araneae; Eresidae.
GCCUUCAUAAUGUAGUGGUCAGCACUCUCGACAUGUAACCGAAAGGUCUGUGGUUCGAUUCCCAGUGAAGACG